This 440-nucleotide ribosomal RNA is filed under the name uncultured bacterium. RNAcentral's name for it is "partial 16S ribosomal RNA". It matches the Rfam family "Bacterial small subunit ribosomal RNA", at positions 338 to 795 of the family's 1533-position model. The record is from RNAcentral.
CCUACGGGAGGCAGCAGUGGGGAAUAUUGCACAAUGGGGGAAACCCUGAUGCAGCGACGCCGCGUGAGUGAAGAAGUAUCUCGGUAUGUAAAGCUCUAUCAGCAGGGAAGAAAAUGACGGUACCUGCCUAAGAAGCCCCGGCUAACUACGUGCCAGCAGCCGCGGUAAUACGUAGGGGGCAAGCGUUAUCGGGAUUUACGGGGUGUAAAGGGGGCGUAGACGGCGCUGCAAGUCCGGAGUGAAAUUCCAUGGCUUAACCAUGGUCCUGCUCUGGACACGGUGGAGCUUGAGGGCGGGAGGGGCAGGCGGAAUUCCUAGUGUAGCGGUGAAAUGCGGAGAUAUUAGGAGGAACACCGGCGGCGAAGGCGGCCUGCUGGACCGUAACUGACGUUGAGGCUCGAAAGCGUGGGGAGCAAACAGGAUUAGAUACCCGGGUAGUC